CAUCCAUGCAAUCAUUGUGCUCUUGCUCAAGCCAAAGAAAUGUCAGCAGUUACAGAUCUCCUCAGUGUUUUAUGAGCAGAAACUAGAGUGAUGAGUUCUUCCACACACAAUUAUUUUAGUAUCUUUCUAUCUAUCAAUCUAUCAGGACAUAACUUUGUCAAAUUCACAUUUUAAUCAGAUAGAAUUGUGUCUUUUCAUAUACAGAUUAUGAAUAAAACACUCAAACCAAACAACAGAACUGGAGCAUUAAUAGGACGCUGGUUUGACCUAGUCUGAAGUCUGUUAUGCAGGCAUUCUGGCCCUUUGUUACAUCUUUCCCCACUCUCACAGUUUCCUGCCCCAUGCACCAUCCUGUCUUUUCAAUACAGAUAUAAACGGUUAAAAACUAAUGUAUAAAUCUAGAGCAUUUUCAGAAGGCCUUCUAGUCUGAACAGUUUUUAAGAUUAGAGUAGAUUCUCUGAGUUUUGUUAAAGUGGAAGACUCUUUUUUUGCACCCACAGCUGCUGCAGCACUGAACUGUACUGGCCCUGAUGAUGAACCCUGGAUGUAAAGUGUGCCUGGAGUCUGGACAGGUAACAUGCUUGUUUUUCCUCCAGCCUGUCUCCUCUGUGUCACCUGUAUGUUUGAGGGGUUGAAAUGUUGCUGCUUUGUCAAGCGUGUUAUUGCUGUGGAGAACAGGGACUGUCUGCUGGCCUCUGAAUGCUCAAAUGACACCCACAGGAAAAUAAAGGGGGGGAGGGGGACAUCUUUUCAUGUUGCCAACCUUUAAUCUUUCCCCUGGUCUCAUUAGCUGGCUCGGGUGGGUCAUGUGCCGAGACACUUGGCCCAGAUAAACAAGCCAUGUGAAGAUGCCAAUCAUGAUGAAGAGGAGACUAGUGCUCCCAGUUGAGUGCGGUAAUCACAAACUGGUAUGACAUGUUGAUUACCGAUGCUCCACUGCUGAUGAAGACCGGCUGGAGAUAAUCACUCUUGUGCUAGCACUUUACAGCUCAUGUCUAUAUCUUCUGGUGCAUCAGUACACAUCGAUGCUUUGUGCUUUAAACAAAACAGCACAAUUACUUUUCAGGUGAAAAAGACAACCAAACUGUGAGCGUGGAGAAUUCAUAAAUCUCCGGAAGCAGUGUCACUGAAAAUCUCUUUUUUUUCCUCUCCAGGAAACACAAGGUGAUGACAGAGGUUAAUGGAUAGUGAAUGCAUCAGUGCUGAAGAGAAUUUCUGUCUCUUUCCAUUCGCUUCAUAUCUCUUCCGCCUGUGGCUCCUGGACCCCCAGGGAUCGAUUGUUCAACUAUGGUCACAGCCUGGUAGUGUGUUUGUGCGUCCGCAGGGGCUGUAGGUGUGAGUAUGUGUGUUUGCAUAAGCCAAAAGCAACAAACCAUCGUCAGUCAGAG
This is a non-coding RNA of Xyrichtys novacula (pearly razorfish), 1388 nucleotides long. The record is from the annotation of a GenBank genome assembly. Lineage: Eukaryota; Metazoa; Chordata; Actinopteri; Labriformes; Labridae.